Molecule: ribosomal RNA, 382 nt
Filed under: Exiguobacterium sp.
Lineage: Bacteria; Bacillati; Bacillota; Bacilli; Caryophanales
Description: bacterial SSU rRNA
Rfam family: Bacterial small subunit ribosomal RNA
Source: RNAcentral
CGUAAAGAACCUGCCCAUAGGUCUGGGAUAACCACGAAAAAUCGGGGCUAAUACCGGAUGUGUCAUCGGACCGCAUGGUCCGCUGAUGAAAGGCGCUCCGGCGUCGCCCAUGGAUGGCUUUGCGGUGCAUUAGCUAGUUGGUGGGGUAACGGCCCACCAAGGCGACGAUGCAUACCCGACCUGAGAGGGUGAUCGGCCACACUGGGACUGAAACACGGCCCAAACUCCUACGGGAGGCAGCAGUAGGGAAUCUUCCACAAUGGACAAAAGUCUGAUGGAACAACCCCGCGUGAACGAUGAAGGCUUUCGGGUCGUAAAGUUCUGUUGUAAGGGAAAAACAAGUGCCGCAGGCAAUGGCGGCACCUUGACGGUACCUUGCGAG